GUGAAUCAUCGAAUUUUUGAACGCAAAUUGCACUCUCUUCGAAGAGUAUGCCUAUUUGAGGUUCAGCCUAAAAAAAAUCAACGGAAUCUCUGUUUCGCGUUUGCAUGCGUCGGAAAUUGAGUCAUCUUAAACCUGUGGUUUUUUUAAUCUGCUUAAAAUUUUCUUUACGAUUCCACGAACUUUUCUAAGAUUUUACUUCUUACACACGUUUUAGGUAUCGAUCUUUAUUAGUCUUGUCCGUGGCAUCUGAUCGCAUCCAUAAAUUUUUCUUUACCUU
This 277-nucleotide unclassified non-coding RNA is filed under the name Glomus sp. Its description in RNAcentral is "partial contains 5.8S ribosomal RNA and internal transcribed spacer 2". The stretch from base 1 to 65 matches the Rfam family "5.8S ribosomal RNA", at positions 84 to 154 of the family's 154-position model. The record is from RNAcentral. Lineage: Eukaryota; Fungi; Glomeromycota; Glomeromycetes; Glomerales; Glomeraceae.